UUCAUUUAUUUUGAGUUAGAGGGAAGGACUCGACGAAUUGGUGCCUAGACUCGUCGAGUAGGAUCGCGAUUUGCUGACUGGAUUAAUGAAUGGACUCGGCGAGUCGGUAGGGUGACUCGAAGAGUCUGCGCUGAAGGCAGAAAUCCUAAAUCUGCGGGCCUGAGCCCGAUUUAAAGGCCUUUAUGGCCUUCUUUGCGGCCACUACUCUCCUGAGAAACCCUAGAGAGCAGAGAGAAGCUUGUAGUGCAAGAGGAAGUCUAAUCCAUCAUUCUUGAGUGUUUUAGCAAAGGGAAGGAAUGAUUUUGAGAUAGGCUGACUUGUGGGACUCAAAUCUUCCAUCAUUUCGUUCAGAACUGCUAUGAGAGGUAAGGAUUCAUGUCAAUCUUCGUUUGAGUAAUAAAUUUCAUGAAUCUAGGGUUUCUUCUCUUCUCUUUUGGUAGAGAUCUAGUGUGUGUGAUGUUCCCUUGUGACUAUAUAAUCAGAUCUGGACCUUGAGAGGUCCAGAGAGUCCCUAUCCUUCAGGUUUAUGCAGUCCCUAUGAGUUUUAGGGCCUAGGUUAUCAUAUUAAAGGAUAUUUUGGCAUAUAGAGAUAGUGUGAUGCAUGGGCCUAAAGUUCGAACCUUUACGUGAUUAUCAUGCUUAAGAAGGUCAGAUCUAUAGGCUAGAGAAGCAGAUCUGACCUUAGAAGGUCAUUUGAGUGAGAGCAUGGAAGCAACUCGUCGAGUUCAUAAUUGGACUCGACGAGUCGAGUGAGGCAUACGAGGAGUCAGAGGACACGCAUGAACUCACCGAGUCACACGAGUGCACUCGGCGAGUCCUGUCAAGUUUGACCGUUGACUUUCGUUGACUUUUAGGGUUUUGAUCAACAUUUGGACUUUUGGGCCAGGGAGGGGUAAAAUGGUCUUUUACCCUUCUGUGAGAUUUUAGAAAGGGAUUUAAUCUAGCCUUUGGGAGCCAUUAUUUAUUGGAGGAUAUUUUUUAUGUGGUUAGGCGGGGGCUAGAGCAGUAUAUUCGUGUGCGAGAUUAUCCGAGUUACCCGAGGUGAGUCUUCUCAUUAUACGUUACCUAGAGUGGUAUCUAUGUGUAGAACGGAGGGUCUUGUGUGCUAUGUGUAUAUAUGAGAUUAUGUGCAAUGUGAUAUAUGUAUGCUCUGUGAUUGUAUAGACUGGACCGGAGGGUCCAACGAUAUAGACCAGACCGAAGAGUCCAACAAUACAGAUCGGGCCGUGAGGAGCUUAUGAGAGGUCUACCGAAAGGUAGACUAUGCUAGUGAGAUGUAGAGUACUUGUGAUCUGGGAUCCAAGGAGGAGGACUUGGGGUCAAUAUUGAUGUGGUGUGGAAGGUAGUAUAGGGCCCGUACUACUGAAGACACCGGAUCAGUGCGCAACCCAAGUAAGAAUUCUUAGGAUACUAGGGAACAAGUAGGGUUGCGUUAUCGAGUGUGAGUAUGCUUGAACGAGUCUCUGAUAUUUUUAUGUUGUAUUUCAGAGACUUCAUGGUUGGGACACGCCACACACCUGAGAGCAGCAGUAUCAGUGACGAGGAGAUCCGCCGGUUGAUUCAUUAGGAGGUGGCUACAGUCAUCCGAGUUGAGAUACCAGAGAUGUUCGGAUAUAUCAAGACCAUGUUGAUCGAGACUUUUGAUGAGCGGUACGCCGCUCUUACUAAUGAUGCUGUUUCUGCGGCCACCGCAGCCGUCGCUUCUGCCAGGCCACAGGGAGGUGACUCGUUGCUGUACCGAGAGCUCAGCAACAUGAAGCCACCUGAGUUUGAAGGGACACAGGAUCCGAUCGCUGCGACGAGAUGGAUUGCUGAUAUUGAGCGAUGUUUCUAUACCUGCUCAUAUCCGGAGCAUUUUUAGAGUACGGUUCGUGCUGAACCAGCUUCGCUUGGGAGCGAAGGACUGGUGGAAGUUUGUAUCGGCAGAUUUUACCCCCGCUGAGCUUACUGCGGUGACCUAUGGAGAGGGAACGACUGGCUCAGGAGUUUUUGACCCUCAAGCAUGGUACUGAUUCUGUUACUGUGAUUACCCGAAAGUUUCAUGAGAGGGCGAUGUUUUGCCCUGAGCAGGUGUCUACCGAGCAGACAUGCAUGAGCCGAUAUCUAAGCGUUCUGAGGAAAUAUAUUCGCAAGUUCGUGGCGAACUCGGCAUACCGGACAUUUGCCAAACUUCAGGAAAAUGCUCGAAAGAGGGACACCGAGCUAGAGACUCAGGCCAGGGAGGAGGCGGAGUGUCAGGGGAGGGAUCGGCGGCCGGCACAAUCUCAGCCGACAGCCAAGCGGGCAAAGCCCGCUGAUUCGAGAUAUGGGGGUCUGAAGGGCCGCAGUUAUGGGAAGUGCGACAAGAGUCACGAGGGGGUGUGCAGAGUUGGGGUGUGUUACAAGUGUGGAAAGGAGGGGUAUUAUGCAAGGGAUUCCUCUAAAGGAUUCUCGGUUUGCUUUCAUUGCAACGAGACCGACCAUCGGAAGGCCGAGUGCCCUCAGCUACUUCACAAAUCAGCAUAGGGAUCUGCACCUGCUGCUAGAGCUACCGAGACCCGGCCAAUGAAGGCCGAGGCACCGAAGGACCAUGGGAGAGCCUUCCAGUUGACAGUGGAGGAGGUCCGCGCAGCGCCCGAUGUCGUGGCUGGUAUGUAUCCUUUCAUUUAUUAAUAUUGAAUGGAGAUAUUGUGCUUAUUUUAUGAUAUGCAUAGGUACUUUUCUUGUGAAUUUUGUACCUGCUUUGUUGUUAUUUGACUCGGGUGCGAGUCGGUCAUUUGUGUCCUUAGCAUUUAGUCAGCACAUCAGUAUUCGGCGAGAGGCGUUGAGUCGACCUCUACGAGUUUCUAUAGCUGACGAGCGAGUGGUGUAUGCUACGGAUGUGAUUCGAGGAUGUGUACUCGAGAUCUUCGGUGUUGAUUUCCCAAUAGAUCUGGUCCUGAUUGCGAUGGGGGACGUGUGUGUCACAGUGGGUAUGGAUUGGUUGAGCCGAUUUGGAGCUGUUAUAGACUGUGAGCGACAGUUGGUGAAGAUACGAGACCCUAGUCGGGGAGUACUUACUGUGUACGACAAGGGUACCCGUUGUGGGUCAGCAUUCUGUUCGGCUGCCAGAGCGAGACAGAGUUUACAGCAGGGCUGCAGCGGGUUUGUAGCCUAUGUGAUGGAUAUGCGAGUGGCCGUGUAGAGGCCGAGUUCGAUUGAUGCUGUUCCGAUAGUGCGCGAGUUCCUGAAUUUUUUUCCCGAGGAGUUGCCGGGUGUGCCUCCCGAGAGGCAGGUAGAGUUCUGCAUCGAUUUGGUUCCGGGGGCAGUGCCUAUCGCCAAGGCGCCUUAUUGACUUGCGCCACCAUAGAUGCAUGAGUUAUCCUCGCAGCUUUAGGAGCUGCUGGGGAAGGGGUUUAUUAGACCGAGUAGCUCGUCGUAGGGAGCGCCGAUCCUUUUUGUCAAGAAAAAGGAUGGUUCACACUGGAUGUGCAUUGAUUACCGGGAGUUGCACAAGUUGACGGUCAAGAACUUUUAUCCAGUGCUGAGGAUCGACGAUUUGUUCGACUAGUUGCAGGGAGCGUCUUGGUUCUCCAAGAGAGACUUGAGGUUCGGAUAUCCUCAGAUGAGGUUGCAGGAUGAAGAUAUCCAGAAGACGGCGUUCAGAACUCGUUAUGGGCAUUACGAGUUCGUGGUGAUGCCUUUUGGGCUCACCAACGCAUCGGCAGCGUUCAUGGAUCUCAUGAACAGGGUGUGUAGGCCGAUGCUUGACCGCUCAGUGAUCGUGUUUAACAACAAUAUUCUGGUAUACUCGAGAUCUAGGGAGCAGCAUGAGGAGCAUCUGAGAGAGAUUCUCGUGGUAUUGAGGUUGGAGAGGCUUUUCGCCAAAUUCUCCAAGUGUGAAUUACAAGAGGUCCAGUUCUUGGGACACCUCGUUCACCAGAAUAGGAUAUUGGUCGAUCCGGCCAAGAUUGAAGCGGUUAUGAGGUGGGGGGUGCCGAGAUCACCCGCUGAUAUUAGGAGUUUUCUGGGAUUGGCCGGCUACUAUCGGAGAUUUAUCAAGGAUUUCUCCAAAAUUGUCGUGCCUCUCACCAGGUUGACCCGGAAGGGUGUUGCUUUUUCGUGGGAUCUGGAGCAACAGACCUCGUUUGAGACACUUCUCUAGAGGCUAUGCGAGGCCCCGGUGUUAGCCCUCCCGGAAGGGAUGGAGGAUUUUGUAGUGUAUUGUGACGUAUCGAUAUCAGGUUUGGGUGCAAUACUUAUGCAGAGGGGUCAUGUGAUAGCAUAUGCAUCAAGGCAGCUGAAGCCUCAUGAGAUGAGGUAUCCCACCCACGAUCUGGAGUUGGGGACAAUGGUGUUCGCCCUCAAGAUCUGGCAUCACUAUCUGUAUGGGCUUCGGUGUACCAUAUACACGGACCACAAGAUCUUGAAGUAUUUGAUGGAUCAGCCCAACCUGAAUAUGCGCCAGAGGAGAUGGUUGGAUGUGGUAAAGGAUUACGAUUGUGAGAUCCUGUACCACCCCGGCAAAGCUAAUGUUGUAGCUGAUGCCCGGAGCUGUAGGGCGGAGAGUGCCCUGAUUCGAGACAUUUGUAUGCGGUUGACGGUGACGACUUUGGUGUUGGACACCAUUCGAGAGGCCCAGGCAGAGGUUGUGAGACCGGAGAACCGCAAGAAAGAGCGGGUGAUUGGGCAGGUAUCUGAGUUCGUUACCGAUAGCCGAGGGAUUAUGACCUUUCAGGGUCGGAUUUGGGUGUCAUAUGCAGGUGGGGCACGUACCACCUUGAUGGAGGAGGCGCACAUAUCGAGGUUCUCGAUCCAUCCCGAGGCCACUAAGAUGUAUUUGGACCUGAAGAAAGAUUAUUGGUGGCCCUGUAUGAAGAGGGAUAUUGCAUGGUUUGUUGAGAGGUGCUUGACAUCUCACAGGGUUAAGGCCGAGCACCAGCGUCCGCACGACAAGUUGAAGCCACUUGAGGUUCCCCAGUGGAAGUGGGAAUAGAUUUCCAUGGAUUUUAUCACCAAGUUUCCAAGGACCGUGAGGGGUGUCAAUGCGAUUUCGGUGAUUGUCAACCGAUUGACGAAGAGCGCUCACUUACUUGCUAUUAGUGAGAGCUCUUCUACAGAGAGAUUGGUAGAGCUGUAUGUGAGGGAGGUGGUAUCGCGACAUGGUGUACCAAUCUCGAUUGUGUCAGAUCGAGACGUACAUUUCACUUCCAGAUUCUGGAAGAAAUUCCAUGACGAGUUGGGUACGAGGUUGUAUUUCAGCACCGCAUACCACCCACAGACGGACGGACGGAGUGAGCGAACGAUUCAGACGCUCGAGGACAUGCUUCUAGCAUGUGUGUUGGACUUCGGAGGAAGUUGGGACACAUACCUACCAUUGGUUGAGUUUUCCUAUAACAACAACCACCAUUCGAGUAUUGGUAUGCCUCCCUUCGAGUUGUUGUACGGGAGGAGGUGUCGGACUCCCAUUUGCUGGGGAGAGGUAGGGCAACACAUGAUGGGCAACAUUGAGAUAGUUCUUCAAACGACCUAGUAGAUACAACAGGUUAGACAGAGGUUGUUGAUAGCUUAGAGGCACCAGAAGAGCUAUGCGGAUAGGCGACGAUCCAAGAUGGAGUUCCAGGUGGGAGACUUUCGUACUCCUGAAGGUGUCUCCUUGGAAAGGAGUGAUUUGAUUCAGGAAGAGGGGCAAGCUGGGGCCCCGAUACAUUAGGCCGUUCAGGGUAACCACGAGGGUGGGCAGGCUAGCAUAUCUGUUGGAGCUACUUACGGAGUUGAGCCAGAUUCAUGAUACCUUCCACGUGUAUCAAUUCAGGAAGUGUAUAGCAGACGAGUCGAUGGUGGUGCCGCUGGAGGAUAUUCAGGUGGAUGCGAGCCUGAAUUAUGUUGAGAGACCGAUCGCGAUCCUGGAUCGAAAGAUCAAGGUUCUGAGUAACAAGGAAGUGCCUCUGGUUCAGGUCCAGUGGAAACAUCGGAGGGAGUCCGAGCUGACUUGGGAGCCGGAGUUGGAGAUGCGAAAGCAACAUCUUGAGUUAUUUACCGAGCGAGACUUCGAGGACGAAGUCUGAUUCUAGUGGGGAAGAAUAGUAACAUCCGAAUUCCCAAGUAUUCUAUUUUGUUCAUUUAUUUUGAGUUAGAGGGAAGGACUCUACAAGUUGGUGCCUAGACUCGUCAAGUAGGAUCGCGAUUUGCUGACUGAAUUAAUGAAUGGACUUGGCAAGUCGGUAGGGUGACUCGAUGAGUCUAUGCUGAAGGCAGAAACCCUAAAUCUGCAGGCCUGAUCCCUAUUUAAAGGCCUUUAUGGCCUUCAUUUGCGGCCACUACUCCCCUGAGAAACCCAAGAGAGCAUAGGGAAGCUUAUAGUGCAAGAGGAAGUCUAAUCCAUCAUUCUUGAGUGUGUUUUAGCAAAGGGAAGGAAGGAUUUCGAGCUAGGCUGACUUGUGGGACUCACAUCUUCCAUUAUUUCGUUCAGAGUUGCUGUGAGAGGUAAGGAUUCAUGUCCAUCUUCAUUUGAGUAAUAGAUUUCAUGAAUCUAAGGUUUCUUCUCUUCUCUUUUGGUAGAGAUCUAGUGUGUGUGAUGUUCCCUUGUGACAAUAUUAUCAGAUCUAGACCUUGAGAGGUCCAGAGAGUCCCUAUCCUUCAGCUUUAUGCAGUCCCUAUGAGUUUUGGGGCAUAGGUUAUCAUAUUAAAGGAUAUUUUGGCAUAUAGAGAUGAUAGUGUGAUGCAUGGGCCUAAAGUUCGAACCUUUACGUGAUUAUCAUGCUUGGGAAGGUCAGAUCUAUAGGCUAGAGAAGCAGAUCUAACCUCAGAAGGUCAUUUGAGUGAGAGCAUGGAAGCAACUUGCCGAGUUCAUAAUUGGACUCGACGAGUCGAGUCGGGUUGCCCUGCGAUUCGUUUCCAGUGGUAAACCGUCGAGUGGAAGGUUCACUCGACGAGUCGAGUGAGGCAUACGAGGAGUCAGAGGACAGGCAUGAACUCGCCGAGUCACACGAGUGCACUUGGCGAGUCAUGUCAAGUUUGACCGUUG
Molecule: long non-coding RNA, 6985 nt
Filed under: Lactuca sativa (garden lettuce)
Lineage: Eukaryota; Viridiplantae; Streptophyta; Magnoliopsida; Asterales; Asteraceae
Description: long non-coding RNA (LSAT_LNC009114)
Source: RNAcentral